RNAcentral lists this ribosomal RNA (491 nucleotides) under uncultured bacterium. Its description in RNAcentral is "bacterial SSU rRNA". It matches the Rfam family "Bacterial small subunit ribosomal RNA", at positions 15 to 518 of the family's 1533-position model. The record is from RNAcentral.
GAUUCUGGCUCAGGAUAAACGCUGGCGGCGUGCGUAACACAUGCGAAGUUGAGCGACGACGUAUCUGAAGUGGAGACGAUGGAAGGCGAGCGGAGCAGCGGACGGGUGAGUACAACAUGAGAAGCUGUCCUGAAGUGGGGGACAACGUCCGGAAACGGACGCUAAUACCCCAUAGGCCGAGAGGUUAAAGCCGCAAGGCGCUUUAGGAGGUGCUCGUGUCCUAUCAGCUAGUUGGUGGGGUAAGGCUCACCAAGGCGACGACCGGGUAGCCGGCCUGAGAGGGUGUACGGCCAACACUGGGGACUGAGAUACGGCCCAGACUCCUACGGGAGGCAGCAGUGGGGAAUAUUGGGCAAUGGGGAAGGAAUCCUGACCCAGCGACGCCGCGUGAACGAAGACGGCCUUAGGGUUGUAAAGUUCUUUUAUGUGGGAAGUAAGGAAGUGACGGUACCACAUGAAUAAGCCCCGGCUAACUACGUGCCAGCCGCCGC